RNAcentral lists this ribosomal RNA (442 nucleotides) under Staphylococcus aureus. Its description in RNAcentral is "bacterial SSU rRNA". It matches the Rfam family "Bacterial small subunit ribosomal RNA", at positions 1091 to 1533 of the family's 1533-position model. Lineage: Bacteria; Bacillati; Bacillota; Bacilli; Caryophanales; Staphylococcaceae. The record is from RNAcentral.
AACGAGCGCAACCCUUAAGCUUAGUUGCCAUCAUUAAGUUGGGCACUCUAAGUUGACUGCCGGUGACAAACCGGAGGAAGGUGGGGAUGACGUCAAAUCAUCAUGCCCCUUAUGAUUUGGGCUACACACGUGCUACAAUGGACAAUACAAAGGGCAGCGAAACCGCGAGGUCAAGCAAAUCCCAUAAAGUUGUUCUCAGUUCGGAUUGUAGUCUGCAACUCGACUACAUGAAGCUGGAAUCGCUAGUAAUCGUAGAUCAGCAUGCUACGGUGAAUACGUUCCCGGGUCUUGUACACACCGCCCGUCACACCACGAGAGUUUGUAACACCCGAAGCCGGUGGAGUAACCUUUUAGGAGCUAGCCGUCGAAGGUGGGACAAAUGAUUGGGGUGAAGUCGUAACAAGGUAGCCGUAUCGGAAGGUGCGGCUGGAUCACCUCCUUU